Molecule: long non-coding RNA, 427 nt
Organism: Macadamia integrifolia
Lineage: Eukaryota; Viridiplantae; Streptophyta; Magnoliopsida; Proteales; Proteaceae
Exons: 3
Source: RefSeq, a predicted model, not a curated record
UAUCCAUUACCAUGGCUAUGGCCUUCCCCUGCAAUGCUUCUUCUUUCACUUUCUACGGCGACAGCAGCAGCGGCGAUAAACAGUAUUUUCAUUCUCUCUCUCUCUCUCUCAGAUUGUAAUUGUAUUCCCAUCCGCUGCAGGGAAAGAGAAGCAGAGGAGAUACCGUCCAAGGGUCCUCAAGCCUCUAAAUUACUUAUCAAAUCUAUGGGAAUCCCAUCGAUUACUGGCUUACAACACGAAUCCUUCCGGAAAGGGUUUGGGUUAAGCUUAUCUGUGGCGCCAGCUUCCAGGUUAGCGUACCAUUAAUGGUGAUUCAACUGUAGCUACAAUUAACAGAAAUUCUCAAUUAUGGAUCCCCAUCUAAACUGCUAUAAUCAAUGGAAGGUUCACACCAAGCUUUAAUUGGUGACAUAGCUUAUGGUGGCUA